Molecule: ribosomal RNA, 253 nt
Filed under: uncultured bacterium
Lineage: Bacteria
Description: partial 16S ribosomal RNA
Rfam family: Bacterial small subunit ribosomal RNA
Source: RNAcentral
UACGGAGGGUGCAAGCGUUAUCCGGAUUCAUUGGGUUUAAAGGGUCCGCAGGCGGGGCCGUAAGUCAGGGGUGAAAGCCUGCAGCUUAACUGUAGAAUUGCCUCUGAUACUGCGGUUCUUGAGUUCGGUCGGCGUGGGUGGAAUGUACGGUGUAGCGGUGAAAUGCUUAGAUAUCGUACAGAACACCGAUCGCGAAGGCAGCUCACGAGGCCGAUACUGACGCUCAGGGACGAAAGCGUGGGGAGCAAACAGG